CAGUGGCGAACGGGUGAGUAACACGUGGGAAAUCUGCCCUGCACUCUGGGACAAGCCUUGGAAACGAGGUCUAAUACCGGAUAUGACCUUCCUCUGCAUGGGGNUUGGUGGAAAGCUCCGGCGGUGCAGGAUGAUCCCGCGGCCUAUCAGCUUGUUGGUGGGGUAAUGGCCUACCAAGGCGACGACGGGUAGCCGGCCUGAGAGGGCGACCGGCCACACUGGGACUGAGACACGGCCCAGACUCCUACGGGAGGCAGCAGUGGGGAAUAUUGCACAAUGGGCGAAAGCCUGAUGCAGCGACGCCGCGUGAGGGAUGACGGCCUUCGGGUUGUAAACCUCUUUCAGCAGGGAAGAAGCGCAAGUGACGGUACCUGCAGAAGAAGCACCGGCUAACUACGUGCCAGCAGCCGCGGUAAUACGUAGGGUGCGAGCGUUGUCCGGAAUUAUUGGGCGUAAAGAGCUCGUAGGCGGCCUGUCGCGUCGGAUGUGAAAGCCCGGG
Molecule: ribosomal RNA, 499 nt
Filed under: Streptomyces sp. 306C06
Lineage: Bacteria; Bacillati; Actinomycetota; Actinomycetes; Kitasatosporales; Streptomycetaceae
Description: bacterial SSU rRNA
Rfam family: Bacterial small subunit ribosomal RNA
Source: RNAcentral